Molecule: ribosomal RNA, 2645 nt
Filed under: Salmonella enterica subsp. enterica serovar Brandenburg
Lineage: Bacteria; Pseudomonadati; Pseudomonadota; Gammaproteobacteria; Enterobacterales; Enterobacteriaceae
Description: partial 23S ribosomal RNA
Rfam family: Bacterial large subunit ribosomal RNA
Source: RNAcentral
GACUCGUCACACUAUCAUUAACUGAAUCCAUAGGUUAAUGAGGCGAACCGGGGGAACUGAAACAUCUAAGUACCCCGAGGAAAAGAAAUCAACCGAGAUUCCCCCAGUAGCGGCGAGCGAACGGGGAGGAGCCCAGAGCCUGAAUCAGCAUGUGUGUUAGUGGAAGCGUCUGGAAAGGCGCGCGAUACAGGGUGACAGCCCCGUACACAAAAGCGCAUGUGCUGUGAGCUCGAUGAGUAGGGCGGGACACGUGGUAUCCUGUCUGAAUAUGGGGGGACCAUCCUCCAAGGCUAAAUACUCCUGACUGACCGAUAGUGAACCAGUACCGUGAGGGAAAGGCGAAAAGAACCCCGGCGAGGGGAGUGAAAAAGAACCUGAAACCGUGUACGUACAAGCAGUGGGAGCACAGGUUUACCUGUGUGACUGCGUACCUUUUGUAUAAUGGGUCAGCGACUUAUAUUCUGUAGCAAGGUUAACCGAAUAGGGGAGCCGGAGGGAAACCGAGUCUUAAUUGGGCGUUAAGUUGCAGGGUAUAGACCCGAAACCCGGUGAUCUAGCCAUGGGCAGGUUGAAGGUUGGGUAACACUAACUGGAGGACCGAACCGACUAAUGUUGAAAAAUUAGCGGAUGACCUGUGGCUGGGGGUGAAAGGCCAAUCAAACCGGGAGAUAGCUGGUUCUCCCCGAAAGCUAUUUAGGUAGCGCCUCGUGAAUUCAUCUCCGGGGGUAGAGCACUGUUUCGGCUAGGGGGCCAUCCCGGCUUACCAACCCGAUGCAAACUGCGAAUACCGGAGAAUGUUAUCACGGGAGACACACGGCGGGUGCUAACGUCCGUCGUGAAGAGGGAAACAACCCAGACCGCCAGCUAAGGUCCCAAAGUCAUGGUUAAGUGGGAAACGAUGUGGGAAGGCCCAGACAGCCAGGAUGUUGGCUUAGAAGCAGCCAUCAUUUAAAGAAAGCGUAAUAGCUCACUGGUCGAGUCGGCCUGCGCGGAAGAUGUAACGGGGCUAAACCAUGCACCGAAGCUGCGGCAGCGACGCUGAUGCGUUGUUGGGUAGGGGAGCGUUCUGUAAGCCUGCGAAGGUGGCCUGUGAGGGUUGCUGGAGGUAUCAGAAGUGCGAAUGCUGACAUAAGUAACGAUAAAGCGGGUGAAAAGCCCGCUCGCCGGAAGACCAAGGGUUCCUGUCCAACGUUAAUCGGGGCAGGGUGAGUCGACCCCUAAGGCGAGGCCGAAAGGCGUAGUCGAUGGGAAACGGGUUAAUAUUCCCGUACUUGGUGUUACUGCGAAGGGGGGACGGAGAAGGCUAUGUUGGCCGGGCGACGGUUGUCCCGGUUUAAGCGUGUAGGUGUGUGUUCCAGGUAAAUCCGGUUCACUUUAACACUGAGGCGUGAUGACGAGGCACUACGGUGCUGAAGCAACAAAUGCCCUGCUUCCAGGAAAAGCCUCUAAGCAUCAGGUAACAUCAAAUCGUACCCCAAACCGACACAGGUGGUCAGGUAGAGAAUACCAAGGCGCUUGAGAGAACUCGGGUGAAGGAACUAGGCAAAAUGGUGCCGUAACUUCGGGAGAAGGCACGCUGACACGUAGGUGAAGUGAUUUACUCAUGGAGCUGAAGUCAGUCGAAGAUACCAGCUGGCUGCAACUGUUUAUUAAAAACACAGCACUGUGCAAACACGAAAGUGGACGUAUACGGUGUGACGCCUGCCCGGUGCCGGAAGGUUAAUUGAUGGGGUCAGCGCAAGCGAAGCUCCUGAUCGAAGCCCCGGUAAACGGCGGCCGUAACUAUAACGGUCCUAAGGUAGCGAAAUUCCUUGUCGGGUAAGUUCCGACCUGCACGAAUGGCGUAAUGAUGGCCAGGCUGUCUCCACCCGAGACUCAGUGAAAUUGAACUCGCUGUGAAGAUGCAGUGUACCCGCGGCAAGACGGAAAGACCCCGUGAACCUUUACUAUAGCUUGACACUGAACAUUGAGCCUUGAUGUGUAGGAUAGGUGGGAGGCUUUGAAGUGUGGACGCCAGUCUGCAUGGAGCCGGCCUUGAAAUACCACCCUUUAAUGUUUGAUGUUCUAACGUGGACCCGUGAUCCGGGUUGCGGACAGUGUCUGGUGGGUAGUUUGACUGGGGCGGUCUCCUCCUAAAGAGUAACGGAGGAGCACGAAGGUUGGCUAAUCCUGGUCGGACAUCAGGAGGUUAGUGCAAUGGCAUAAGCCAGCUUGACUGCGAGCGUGACGGCGCGAGCAGGUGCGAAAGCAGGUCAUAGUGAUCCGGUGGUUCUGAAUGGAAGGGCCAUCGCUCAACGGAUAAAAGGUACUCCGGGGAUAACAGGCUGAUACCGCCCAAGAGUUCAUAUCGACGGCGGUGUUUGGCACCUCGAUGUCGGCUCAUCACAUCCUGGGGCUGAAGUAGGUCCCAAGGGUAUGGCUGUUCGCCAUUUAAAGUGGUACGCGAGCUGGGUUUAGAACGUCGUGAGACAGUUCGGUCCCUAUCUGCCGUGGGCGCUGGAGAACUGAGGGGGGCUGCUCCUAGUACGAGAGGACCGGAGUGGACGCAUCACUGGUGUUCGGGUUGUCAUGCCAAUGGCACUGCCCGGUAGCUAAAUGCGGAAGAGAUAAGUGCUGAAAGCAUCUAAGCACGAAACUUGCCCCGA